CACUUGUAGAUUCUUGUUGAUCAUUUUAUGUUUCUCCCUUAAUUAUUUCUUUAAUAGAUCAUAUAAUAAUAUAUCUGAACAAAUCUGUUAAUAGUGGAAUUUUGCAUGCAUAAUUAGGCUAUAAAGGGUUUUGUUCACAUUAUUCUUUCAUAAGAUAUGGCUAUGGCCUACAAUAGCAAUAUUCUUGCUUUAUUAUGCAUAAUGUGUUGCGUUUUUCAUUUGCCAUUGUGCUCUGUCCGGAGCCAUAUUAUGGUCUUUAUCUGCUUUUCUGAAGUUCCUAACAUUGUUCUCUUGGGCUGUAUGCUAGCUUGACUUUCUUAUUCUUGCUUGGUAUAAAAAUGCAUUGAGAGCAUUGCAUUGUCUUUUAAGAUUUAGGAACCAACUCCUUGGGCACAUUUCUUCAUACAAUGGCCACAUGUACACAAAUAGUGUAAGCCAGGUUUCCGGUAUAGAUCAUCUCCUAUCUAAUAGUCUAGCUGCAAUUUUUUGUAGUUAUAUGGUGACAAUACAAUACUAUAAAUGAUUUUGUGGACAGUAAUGAAUAGUCGAUACGAAAAAUAUUUGGCCCUUUAAAUAACUCAUGGAGCAUACUGAAAGAAGAAAGGCACCUUGCUACAGGGUAUAUUUGAAAAUCUGUUAGAAAAGGUGGAGGUGGCUAAUCCAAGAAGAAGCCAUUUUUCCAUGUGAGAUUCUCAGCAACUUCAAGAGAGCAAAACUUGUUGAGUUCGUGUAGUGUAUGCCCUAAUCUAUCUUAUAUAUACUCUCAAUUGGUUAACCUGAAGGAGAAAAACAUUUCUCAUGAAAUGCAUAUCAUAAAUUUAUGCUAACCUUCUUACCAAAAAAAAAAAAAAUUAUGCUAACCUACACUGUAAGAAACUAUCUUUCUGACAGCUCCUAAAUUUGAUAUGCUUGCUUUUUUUUUUCUCCUUGCUCUUUCAUAUGGAACAAGAUAUGCAGAGAUGGAAGCUCUUGAUGUCCUUCAGGAACAGUGGCAGAUGACUGGAUUUUUAGCUACAGA
This 1018-nucleotide long non-coding RNA is filed under the name Eucalyptus grandis. Its description in RNAcentral is "long non-coding RNA (EGRA_LNC002985)". The record is from RNAcentral. Lineage: Eukaryota; Viridiplantae; Streptophyta; Magnoliopsida; Myrtales; Myrtaceae.